RNAcentral lists this ribosomal RNA (570 nucleotides) under Clarkcomanthus albinotus. RNAcentral's name for it is "partial 16S ribosomal RNA". It matches the Rfam family "Bacterial large subunit ribosomal RNA", at positions 1814 to 2603 of the family's 2925-position model. The record is from RNAcentral. Lineage: Eukaryota; Metazoa; Echinodermata; Crinoidea; Comatulida; Comatulidae.
CAUCGCCCCUUGAAAAUUAAAAAUAGGGGGUACUGCCUGCCCAGUGACUAAAAUUUAACGGCCGCGGUAUUUUGACCGUGCAAAGGUAGCAUAAUAAUUUGCUCUUUAAUUGAGGGCUAGUAUGAAAGGCAAGACGAAAGCUUAACUGUCUCCCUACUUAAAAAAGAAAUUAAUAUUUUAGUGAAGAAGCUAAAAUAAAAAUGUAAGACGAGAAGACCCUGUCGAGCUUAAGAAAAUUUUUAUUUAUUAAAAGAAAAAGCUAAUUUUUUUUAUUUUUACUUUUUAAUCAAAACAAUAAAAAUAUCUUUGGUUGGGGCAACCACGAAGAAAAAAAAACCUUCGAUUUUUACAAAAAAUAAACAAAUUUAAAAGCUAAUUUUUAAAGCUAAUAAGAUCCGGAUAACACACUUAACCGAUCAAAGAAAAAAGUUACCGCAGGGAUAACAGCGUUAUUCUCUUUAAGAGCUCGUAUUGACAAGAGAGUUUGCGACCUCGAUGUUGGAUCGGGGCAUCCAAGAGAUGCAGAAGUCUCUAAAGGUAGGUCUGUUCGACCUUUAAAGCCCUACGUGA